This is a long non-coding RNA of Daucus carota subsp. sativus, 3520 nucleotides long. RefSeq lists it as uncharacterized. The transcript has 5 exons. The record is from RefSeq and is a predicted model, not a curated record. Lineage: Eukaryota; Viridiplantae; Streptophyta; Magnoliopsida; Apiales; Apiaceae.
UACAAAAGUGCCAUGCUUCUCGACUAUCCGGGUAAUGCUAAACGCUUGAUUAAUGAAACAUUAGUUUCACUGCUAGCCUAAUCAACUACCCAAUUUCAUGGCCAGUUACACAAUCUCAUCCAAAGAACUGGACGAUUAGAUAUUAACAAACCCUCCUGUUCGAUUUUAUCCCCCAACCAGGAUUCUUACGUAUUCUUGCUGCUUUGAUUAUAUAUGGACAUGGGAAUAUAGAGUUGUCAAAGUAUCAUGUCGUCAAGCUCCAGUACACUAUACAUAAUCGACUCAUCUUUAACCCAUAGGAGUGUGUGAAUUUGUUUUUCAGAAGUUUUCCCAAAACACUGCAACCAGUGGCAAGUGGAUGAGCACAUCAGCAUUAAAACUUGAACUGUCAAUCAAAAGAAUAUUCAAAUAUUUAAGGAUGUCAAAUGCUGCAGUGAUGCAAAAUAGGGGCUUGAGAAAGUGGUGAUCUGUUUUAUUUGUGCAGAGUGCAUUUCCAUGGUUAUGCAAUCCUUUUGUUUAAAUUUUUUGAUCCAUUUGAUAUGUGGUUUGUGGGCUUGGUUGAUCUUAAACACAUAAAACCUAGAUCAUCCUGGUCUCUGACAUCCUAUAAUUUAUUUUGUAUGUGUGGCGAGCGUGCAAAUUUAUGUGAUUGCUGAGUUUCUCUUCUAUCCUGUUGUCUUAAGUCCGUCAUUUGUUUUAAUCUAAGCACUCAUGGCUGCAAUUUAAUGACAUUGUACUUAAAAUUCUAUCUUUCAGUCCCUACAGGAUCACGAACUGGAGCAGGCCAGGAUGUUAUUAAUCUGCUGGGCGCUAGCAUGUCUGAAGUGUGUCCGAGAAAAAGAGUUAUACCACAAGUAAGCUGAGAAACGGGAUUAACAAAAGUGUGUAUCCUGCAAUCAAAGUAGUUCCCUAGCGGAACUGCUGCGCAUAUGGGCGACGCCGGGUGUGAUGAUGGUGAUGUGCCCGGUGGCGAGCACCAAGGUAUCAACAUUCAAUGGCAUCAACAGGUUUUUCGGUCAUUAUUUAUGACAUUUGAGAGAGUUGUCCGAGCAUAAAUCGCCCUCACCUUGACUGCAUCAUACAACUGUUGCAUGAUACUCAGGAACUAAUGAAAAAUUAGAGAAGACAAGGAUAUCACCAAAUACAUGCAUCGUUCAAAUUUGGUUCUGGUUUUAAUAUUAAUUUACUUUUCAUAUAUGCCCAGUCCGAUUUGAAUAGUCUUUUUUAAUCCUGACAUGGACAUUUCUGAAAAUACAAGAACUCAUCAUAUACGUCAAAACUUAUUUUUAAAGAAGACUAAUUUUUGUAGGUUCUGAAAUUGUUUGCAGGUCGUCAUGUGUACACCUCCCUUUAUGAUAUAGUCACUGCAACGUACUUAUAUAUACCAUUCUAUUUAGAUCACUUAAGUUUUUUUACAGACUUCAACUGCAGCAGUUCAAUUAGAUGUUUUCUCAAUGCUUUGUGGGUGUUGUCGCCCAAGAUCAUGGUUGUAUCAGAGCAAGAUUCCAAUCAUAAUGGGUCAAAUCUUAUGGAGAGGCUGUCGGAAUCUCUGUACUUUUAUGCUGCAUUAUUUGACUGUUUGGAAUCUACACUUCCGAGGACAUAAAUAGAGAGAUCAACGCUAGAAAAGUUUCUUUUUGGAGAAGAAAUUAAAAACAUUAUAGCAUGAGAAGGUCGUGGAAGAAAGGAAGAACAUGAAAAGCUAGAUAGAUGGAUUCAAAGACUUGAGUUUGCAGGCUUCGGUAAGGUGCCUUGGAGCUAUUACGGAAUGUUGCAAGCAAGAAGAUUGCUACAAAGUUAUAGCUGCGAUGUUUAUCGAAUCAAAGAAGAAAAUGGAUCAGUGGUGAUCUCUUUUAUUGUUCCCGUUUCCCACUCAGUGCCAAUGUUUGUGGUACCAUCAGGGACAUGUCCAUGCUUCUUCUUUUUUUUAAUCCUAAUGGAGAUACGAAUAUUACAGGCUACGACAGAAAAUAUCAUUGUCGGUUCUUAUGUUUGGAUUGAAGAUCCAGAAAUAGCUUGGAUCGAUGGACAAGUUACAAAGAUUAAUGGACAAGAAGUUCAGAUAGAUACUAUUAUCUACUAGAGGAAAUUCGGUGUGUGAGCUAUUUAUUUUGCAUAGUAUUAUUUAACCAAGUCCUUCUUUGUUAGUUUUUGUGAUAUACGAAUCCUUCCCUGGGGUACACUAGACUUGUGGAAGGGUCUGCAGUGCUCUUCAAAAUUCGUUAAAAAGCCACUGCAACUAGAGAGUCAAAUCAUAUAUCCUUAUAUCAUUCAGUUCGCCAUAAGGCAGAUUGCAGGAGAAAAUAGUUCUCACGUAUUGUAAGUUUGGUGAGUUCUCCUGAAAGGUAUGCUUUAAAAUUAAAGUAAAUGGAUUAAAAUUGUUGCUACAUUGGUUUCGUAAUACAUUUUUAAUAAACUUGCUCUGUUUAUGAGACCUAAUUUCGAAUUAUUUUUUUUUUUAUCUAUUUCUAUGACGAUCAUCCAAAUAUCUUUUGGCUCUUCAUUUGUUGCUAGAGACGAAUAUACAAGAAAUAGGUUCCUGGAUUCCGUUUAAUGUUAUCAUUGCUCCAAUUUCGUUAUUAUCAUCUCUACUUAUCAUCAUGGUCGACCAGAAUUUGCCCCUUCUGUUCCUAAACAAUUUACUUUUUCCCAACAUGCAGGUGCUUCUAGCGGAGGACCCAGCGCCCAUGUGAACUGGCAUGUUUGAUGCAAAUCAAGUGAAAGGUAAGAAAUUUAUUCUCUAUAACAAGUUCCACAAUAAAUUUCCGUACCAAUUAAAUUUUAUGUUUUAGCUUUAAUAAUUUAGUACAGAUAGGGUUUUACUUCACUAGAAAUCUCCUUAAAAUAAAAAUUGAAAACUAAAAUAUAAAUUUUCCUAAAUUGGAUCGAAAUAUAGCAUAUAUUAUAUGUAAAAUGAUUGUCAGAAGAGAUAGAGAAAAAUUUCAGUGAAGUUAGAUUUAAAAAAAUAUAUUCACCUAUUGAUGGAAAAAUUAAAUUAGAAAAGUAGGGAAUUAUGUAUGAGAGGGUGUAUUGUGAUUGAGCGUGAUGCCUUCUAGAGGGCCAUUAGAUUAAAUUAAUCUAAGAACCCUUGUAGCUGUAGGAAAUGAAAGCGCAAGGUGUUUCUGAUGAUAAACUAUUACUUCUCAAGGGCAUGAGUAGAGUUUUCAGGUCAGGGGUUCUAACUGCAUGCUCUAAUGGGUGUUAGUGGUGCUGGACUAUUGGUAAAACAACUUUGAUGGAUGUAUUGGCUGGUCGGAAUUGGUGCUGGUUUCAUUGCUGAUGUUUUGGACAUGAGCAUUUGUGACGAAGUAAUUCAAGUAGGCAUUUUGGCAAAAGCUAUAAUGUCUUUGACUUCAGUUAAUAAAUUUUAUGGAGAGGCUCUUUUGAGAUUUUAUGCACAAUUAUCUGGCAAGAUUUUAGUCUAAAUUGCAUCAAGAGUAUGAUUACUAAGUAGGUAGUGAAUGUUCUAUUGAUUUUUGAGACAUCUUGAACAGGAAUUUUUUAAACAUAUGUUUUGAUA